UACAGAGGUGGCAAGCGUUGUUCGGAAUUACUGGGCGUAAAGGGCGCGUAGGCGGCCAUCUAAGUCAGACGUGAAAUCCCCCCGGCUUAACCUGGGAACUGCGCUCGAUACUGUUGAGCUAGAGUGUGGAAGGGGGCUACUGGAAUUCCGUGUGUAGCGGGUGAAAAUGCGUAGAUAUAACGGAGGAACACCUGCGGCGAAGGCGGGGUAGCUGGGCCAACACUGACGCUGGAGAACGCGAAAGCUAGGGGAGCAAACGGG
This 261-nucleotide ribosomal RNA is filed under the name uncultured bacterium. RNAcentral's name for it is "partial 16S ribosomal RNA". It matches the Rfam family "Bacterial small subunit ribosomal RNA", at positions 524 to 776 of the family's 1533-position model. The record is from RNAcentral.